Molecule: ribosomal RNA, 230 nt
Filed under: uncultured bacterium
Lineage: Bacteria
Description: partial 16S ribosomal RNA
Rfam family: Bacterial small subunit ribosomal RNA
Source: RNAcentral
UGCGUAGGCGGACUAAUAAGUCAGUGGUGAAAUCUCUCGGCUCAACCGGGAAACUGCCAUUGAUACUGUUAGUCUUGAGUUCGGUUGAGGUAGGCGGAAUGUGUAAUGUAGCGGUGAAAUGCUUAGAUAUUACACAGAACACCAAUUGCGUAGGCAGCUUACUAGACCGACACUGACGCUGAGGCACGAAAGCGUGGGUAGCGAACAGGAUUAGAUACCCUGGUUAGUCC